RNAcentral lists this ribosomal RNA (253 nucleotides) under uncultured bacterium. Its description in RNAcentral is "partial 16S ribosomal RNA". It matches the Rfam family "Bacterial small subunit ribosomal RNA", at positions 524 to 776 of the family's 1533-position model. The record is from RNAcentral.
UACGUAGGGAGCAAGCGUUGUCCGGAAUCAUUGGGCGUAAAGCGCGCGUAGGCGGCCUCAUAAGUCCGUUGUGAAAGUCAAAGGCUCAACCUUUGAAAGCCGAUGGAUACUGUGAGGCUAGAGUCCGGAAGAGGAGAGUGGAAUUCCCGGUGUAGCGGUGAAAUGCGCAGAUAUCGGGAAGAACACCUAUGGCGAAGGCAGCUCUCUGGGACGGUACUGACGCUGAGACGCGAAAGCGUGGGGAGCGAACAGG